This 497-nucleotide ribosomal RNA is filed under the name uncultured bacterium. RNAcentral describes it as "partial 16S ribosomal RNA". It matches the Rfam family "Bacterial small subunit ribosomal RNA", at positions 28 to 507 of the family's 1533-position model. The record is from RNAcentral.
GACGAACGCUGGCGGCGUGCCUAAUACAUGCAAGUAGAACGCUGAAGAGAGGAGCUUGCUCUUCUUGGAUGAGUUGCGAACGGGUGAGUAACGCGUAGGUAACCUGCCUGGUAGCGGGGGAUAACUAUUGGAAACGAUAGCUAAUACCGCAUAAAAUGGAUUAUCGCAUGAUAAUCCAUUGAAAGGUGCAAAUGCAUCACUACCAGAUGGACCUGCGUUGUAUUAGCUAGUUGGUGGGGUAACGGCUCACCAAGGCGACGAUACAUAGCCGACCUGAGAGGGUGAUCGGCCACACUGGGACUGAGACACGGCCCAGUCUCCUACGGGAGGCAGCAGUAGGGAAUCUUCGGCAAUGGACGGAAGUCUGACCGAGCAACGCCGCGUGAGUGAAGAAGGUUUUCGGAUCGUAAAGCUCUGUUGUAAGAGAAGAACGAGUGUGAGAGUGGAAAGUUCACACUGUGACGGUAUCUUACCAGAAAGGGACGGCUAACUACGUG